Molecule: ribosomal RNA, 786 nt
Filed under: Klebsiella pneumoniae
Lineage: Bacteria; Pseudomonadati; Pseudomonadota; Gammaproteobacteria; Enterobacterales; Enterobacteriaceae
Description: partial 23S ribosomal RNA
Rfam family: Bacterial large subunit ribosomal RNA
Source: RNAcentral
GGGACACGUGGUAUCCUGUCUGAAUAUGGGGGGACCAUCCUCCAAGGCUAAAUACUCCUGACUGACCGAUAGUGAACCAGUACCGUGAGGGAAAGGCGAAAAGAACCCCGGCGAGGGGAGUGAAAAAGAACCUGAAACCGUGUACGUACAAGCAGUGGGAGCACCUUCGGGUGUGACUGCGUACCUUUUGUAUAAUGGGUCAGCGACUUAUAUUCUGUAGCAAGGUUAACCGUAUAGGGGAGCCGCAGGGAAACCGAGUCUUAACUGGGCGUUAAGUUGCAGGGUAUAGACCCGAAACCCGGUGAUCUAGCCAUGGGCAGGUUGAAGGUUGGGUAACACUAACUGGAGGACCGAACCGACUAAUGUUGAAAAAUUAGCGGAUGACUUGUGGCUGGGGGUGAAAGGCCAAUCAAACCGGGAGAUAGCUGGUUCUCCCCGAAAGCUAUUUAGGUAGCGCCUCGUGAAUUCAUCUUCGGGGGUAGAGCACUGUUUCGGCUAGGGGGUCAUCCCGACUUACCAACCCGAUGCAAACUACGAAUACCGAAGAAUGUUAUCACGGGAGACACACGGCGGGUGCUAACGUCCGUCGUGAAGAGGGAAACAACCCAGACCGCCAGCUAAGGUCCCAAAGUCAUGGUUAAGUGGGAAACGAUGUGGGAAGGCACAGACAGCCAGGAUGUUGGCUUAGAAGCAGCCAUCAUUUAAAGAAAGCGUAAUAGCUCACUGGUCGAGUCGGCCUGCGCGGAAGAUGUAACGGGGCUAAACCAUGCACCGAAGCUGCGGCAG